Rhinichthys klamathensis goyatoka is the source of this 539-nucleotide long non-coding RNA. RefSeq lists it as uncharacterized. The record is from RefSeq and is a predicted model, not a curated record. NCBI's taxonomy places the organism in Eukaryota, Metazoa, Chordata, Actinopteri, Cypriniformes, Leuciscidae. The transcript has 2 exons.
CAUUGAUAAGAAAUGUUUCUUGAACAACAAAUCUAAUCAGCAUAUUAGAAUGAUUUCUGAAGGAUCAUGUGACACUGAAGAAUGAAGACCGGAGAAUGAAAAACCGAAUCGUCCAACAAAAUGGUGACUUUAUUUCAAUGUCAAAAAAUCAGUACAUAGCACACUGAUCAGUGUGCACAUGAUAAAAGAUAUGAAAAUAUUACAACUUUAAACGUGAUUGCAAUGAAACAGCUUGUGACCUUUUUUUAAAAUAAACAAUAACACAUCCAUAAAAAAUUCUCCUUUAAGUUCAGCCAAGCUUUGCAGAAUUACAUGAUGUUAGUGUACGCAAUCUGUAGUGAAAGAUGACAGCAGAAAUGACAAUUAUUGUUGAAUGAUUAACCCCAAACUGGUUCUUUACAAACGCUACUGUACAUAGUUCUGUAAAAAGUUGCACUCUCAUGUUAACUUGAAUACAUAGUAAGAAACAAUGGCCAACCGCUUCAAAGAACAUCAUCUGUGGUUUGUUACGAUAUCUUGUUGACCCUCUCAAAUGGCCA